RNAcentral lists this ribosomal RNA (245 nucleotides) under uncultured Eubacteriales bacterium. Its description in RNAcentral is "uncultured Clostridiales bacterium partial 16S ribosomal RNA". It matches the Rfam family "Bacterial small subunit ribosomal RNA", at positions 524 to 768 of the family's 1533-position model. Lineage: Bacteria; Bacillati; Bacillota; Clostridia; Eubacteriales. The record is from RNAcentral.
AACGUAGGGGGCGAGCGUUGUCCGGAAUUAUUGGGCGUAAAGGGCGUGUAGGCGGCUCGUGAAGUCAGGAGUGAAAACCCAGGGCUCAACCCUGGGACUGCUUUUGAGACCAGCGGGCUUGAGUGCAGGAGAGGGAAGUGGAAUUCCCAGUGUAGCGGUGAAAUGCGUAGAUAUUGGGAGGAACACCAGUGGCGAAAGCGGCUUCCUGGCCUGUAACUGACGCUGAGGCGCGAAAGCGUGGGGAG